RNAcentral lists this small RNA (125 nucleotides) under Marmota monax (woodchuck). The record is from RNAcentral. Lineage: Eukaryota; Metazoa; Chordata; Mammalia; Rodentia; Sciuridae.
GCCGGGUGCAGUGGUGCGCGCCUGUAAUCCCAGUGGCUUGGGAGGCUAAGGCAGGAGGAUCUCGAGUUCAAAACCAGCUUCAGCAAAAGCGAGGCACUAAGCAACUCAGAGAGACCCUGUCUCUA